AUACGUAGGUGGCAAGCGUUGUCCGGAAUUAUUGGGCGUAAAGCGCGCGCAGGCGGUCCUUUAAGUCUGAUGUGAAAGCCCACGGCUCAACCGUGGAGGGUCAUUGGAAACUGGGGGACUUGAGUGCAGAAGAGGAAAGUGGAAUUCCAAGUGUAGCGGUGAAAUGCGUAGAGAUUUGGAGGAACACCAGUGGCGAAGGCGACUUUCUGGUCGGUAACUGACGCUGAGGCGCGAAAGCGUGGGGAGCAAACAGGAUUAGAUACCCUGGUAGUCCACGCCGUAAACGAUGAGUGCUAAGUGUUAGGGGGUUUCCGCCCCUUAGUGCUGCAGCUAACGCAUUAAGCACUCCGCCUGGGGAGUACGGUCGCAAGACUGAAACUCAAAGGAAUUGACGGGG
Molecule: ribosomal RNA, 397 nt
Filed under: uncultured bacterium
Lineage: Bacteria
Description: partial 16S ribosomal RNA
Rfam family: Bacterial small subunit ribosomal RNA
Source: RNAcentral